ACGUAAUUGUAUAUAGCGUUAUACGUUAAAUCGUAAUAGUAUAUAACGUUAUACGUUAUAACGUAAUAUCAUAUACGGUUAUACGUUAUAACGUAAUAGUAUAUAACGUUAUACGUUAUAACGUAAUUGUAUAUAGCGUUAUACGUUAAAUCGUAAUAGUAUAUAACGUUAUACGUUAUAACGUAAUAUCAUAUACGGUUAUACGUUAUAACGUAAUAUUAUACAACGUUAUACGUUAUAACGUAAUUGUAUAUAGCGUUAUACGUUAAA
RNAcentral lists this unclassified non-coding RNA (270 nucleotides) under Bombus terrestris (buff-tailed bumblebee). RNAcentral's name for it is "misc RNA ENSBTSG00005033646.1". The record is from RNAcentral. Lineage: Eukaryota; Metazoa; Arthropoda; Insecta; Hymenoptera; Apidae.